GACGAACGCUGGCGGCGUGCUUAACACAUGCAAGUCGGACGGAAAGGCCCUGCUUUUGUGGGGUGCUCGAGUGGCGAACGGGUGAGUAACACGUGAGUAACCUGCCCUUGACUUUGGGAUAACUUCAGGAAACUGGGGCUAAUACCGGAUAGGAGCUCCUGCUGCAUGGUGGGGGUUGGAAAGUUUCGGCGGUUGGGGAUGGACUCGCGGCUUAUCAGCUUGUUGGUGGGGUAGUGGCUUACCAAGGCUUUGACGGGUAGCCGGCCUGAGAGGGUGACCGGCCACAUUGGGACUGAGAUACGGCCCAGACUCCUACGGGAGGCAGCAGUGGGGAAUAUUGCACAAUGGGCGGAAGCCUGAUGCAGCAACGCCGCGUGCGGGAUGAAGGCCUUCGGGUUGUAAACCGCUUUCGCCUGUGACGAAGCGUGAGUGACGGUAAUGGGUAAAGAAGCACCGGCUAACUACGUG
RNAcentral lists this ribosomal RNA (468 nucleotides) under uncultured bacterium. Its description in RNAcentral is "partial 16S ribosomal RNA". It matches the Rfam family "Bacterial small subunit ribosomal RNA", at positions 28 to 507 of the family's 1533-position model. The record is from RNAcentral.